This is a non-coding RNA of Paramuricea clavata, 906 nucleotides long. The record is from the annotation of a GenBank genome assembly. NCBI's taxonomy places the organism in Eukaryota, Metazoa, Cnidaria, Anthozoa, Malacalcyonacea, Plexauridae.
AAUAAAUGAACAAACGUAGUAGGCGAUUAUUUAAUUUAAAUACUUAAUAGUGUGGCGCGACAGGCCAAGAUCGAAGCCCGUCAGCCCGAAGAAGGGUUAAAGCAGAGUAGCAGACUAAUAAGUAAUAACUUAUAAGUUAUACUCAUAACUUUGAUCCUGAUCGGCUGAUUCAAUCAGAUUGCAGGAAAUCAAAUAUCACUAGGCAUGCACAACUAAAAAAAUAAAAUGUAUUAUCACGUGCUUGCAUGUAAAUUUAAGGAUUCUGCACAUAAAGAUGGAGCCUGGCGUAGCAGACCAACCCCAGUAGAAGUAGAUGUGUACCUACAGGGUUUUUUUCAGGGAUUUUUUAGGACCGUUAAACGGCCUCAAAAACUCAAUCUUGAAUUGAGUUUUGAAACUCAAUGUUCUCACCAAAGUUUCAGUGCAGUAAAAAUGAAGUUGCUUGAGUUAAAUUCGUGGCGUGUGGAAAUUAGUUUUCAGUUGGAAACCCGACAAUUAAGAAAAAAUGGCUGGAAUUCAUCUCACAAGAAAAACUAUGCAUUCGCCAUCUUUAACCAGUUUAUAGUGUCCCUUAGUACACCUGCUUGAACACAUUCCGUCUCAACUAUACAUUUAUUGAGUACAGGUGUCAGCCCCGGGGGGGGUGCAGCCACACCAGCUGUUCAGCUAAACUCAAUCUUCUCUGCAAAAACGGGCCCAAGAGAAAAUCCUAAAAAAAACCUGACCUACUAGGCAUACUAUAGUACGUUGAUGUAUCCACUUCUGCUGGGGUCGAUUUGUUAAAGACAUAUAUUUUCUAUGUCGCGUAUGUACGACGAAAAACGUUCAGAAUCACCAAAAUCUUUUGACGUGCUUCUCAAAAUUACUUUGUUUUUAAUUAGCUUGAUUUUCUAGCUUAUAUGCAGU